Molecule: ribosomal RNA, 637 nt
Filed under: uncultured bacterium
Lineage: Bacteria
Description: bacterial SSU rRNA
Rfam family: Bacterial small subunit ribosomal RNA
Source: RNAcentral
GCUCAACCGGGGAGGGUCAUUGGAAACUGGGGAACUUGAGUGCAGAAGAGGAGAGUGGAAUUCCACGUGUAGCGGUGAAACGCGUAGAGGUGUGGAGGAACACCAGUGGCGAAGGCGACUCUCUGGUCUGCAACUGACGCUGAGGCGCGAAAGCGUGGGGAGCGAACAGGAUUAGAUACCCUGGUAGUCCACGCCGUAAACGAUGAGUGCUAAGUGUUAGAGGGUUUCCGCCCUUUAGUGCUGCAGCAAACGCAUUAAGCACUCCGCCUGGGGAGUACGGUCGCAAGACUGAAACUCAAAGGAAUUGACGGGGGCCCGCACAAGCGGUGGAGCAUGUGGUUUAAUUCGAAGCAACGCGAAGAACCUUACCAGGUCUUGACAUCCUUUGACAACCCUAGGGAUAGGGCUUCCCCUUCGGGGGCAGAGUGACAGGUGGUGCAUGGUUGUCGUCAGCUCGUGUCGUGAGAUGUUGGGUUAAGUCCCGCAACGAGCGCAACCCUUGAUCUUAGUUGCCAGCAUUCAGUUGGGCACUCUAAGGUGACUGCCGGUGACAAACCGGAGGAAGGUGGGGAUGACGUCAAAUCAUCAUGCCCCUUAUGACCUGGGCUACACACGUGCUACAAUGGGCAGAACAAAG